This 73-nucleotide transfer RNA is filed under the name Cordylochernes scorpioides. Its description in RNAcentral is "tRNA-Thr". It matches the Rfam family "tRNA". Rfam says of the family: Transfer RNA (tRNA) molecules are approximately 80 nucleotides in length. Their secondary structure includes four short double-helical elements and three loops (D, anti-codon, and T loops). The record is from RNAcentral. Lineage: Eukaryota; Metazoa; Arthropoda; Arachnida; Pseudoscorpiones; Chernetidae.
UCCAGGGUAGCUUAGUGGACAUGGCAUCUUCCCGGUAAGCGGAACACUGUGGGUUCGUUUCCCAUCCCUGGAC